GAUGAACGCUGGCGGCGUGCUUAACACAUGCAAGUCGAACGGAAAGGCCCAAGCUUGCUUGGGUACUCGAGUGGCGAACGGGUGAGUAACACGUGGGUGAUCUGCCCUGCACUUCGGGAUAAGCCUGGGAAACUGGGUCUAAUACUGGAUAGGACCACUUCUUGGAUGUUGUGGUGGAAAGUUUUUUCGGUGUGGGAUGAGCUCGCGGCCUAUCAGCUUGUUGGUGGGGUAAUGGCCUACCAAGGCGUCGACGGGUAGCCGGCAUGAGAGGGUGUACGGCCGCAUUGGGACUGAGAGACGGCCCAGACUCCUACGGGUGGGAGCAGGGGGGAAUGUUGGACAAUGGGCGAAAGCCUGAUGCAGCGAGGCCGUGGGGUGGAUGACGGCCUUCGGGUUGUAAGAACCGUUCGAUAGGGACGAAGCGUUUUGUGACGGUACCUGGAGGAGAAGCAACGGCUAACUACGUG
Molecule: ribosomal RNA, 467 nt
Filed under: uncultured bacterium
Lineage: Bacteria
Description: partial 16S ribosomal RNA
Rfam family: Bacterial small subunit ribosomal RNA
Source: RNAcentral